UGGGGAAUAUUGCACAAUGGGCGAAAGCCUGAUGCAGCAACGCCGCGUGAGUGAUGAAGGCCUUCGGGUUGUAAAGCUCUGUCUUUUGGGACGAUAAUGACGGUACCAAAGGAGGGAGCCACGGCUAACUACGUGCCAGCAGCCGCGGUAAUACGUAGGUGGCAAGCGUUGUCCGGAUUUACUGGGCGUAAAGGAUGCGUAGGCGGAUUUUUAAGUGAGAUGUGAAAUACCCGGGCUUAACUUGGGUGCUGCAUUUCAAACUGGGAAUCUAGAGUGCGGGAGAGGAGAAUGGAAUUCCUAGUGUAGCGGUGAAAUGCGUAGAGAUUAGGAAGAACACCAGUGGCGAAGGCGAUUCUCUGGACCGUAACUGACGCUGAGGCAUGAAAGCGUGGGUAGCAAACAGGAUUAGAUACCCUGGUAGUCCACGCCGUAAACGAUGAGUACUAGGUGUAGGAGGUAUCGACCCCUUCUGUGCCGCAGUUAACACAAUAAGUACUCCGCCUGGGAAGUACGAUCGCAAGAUUAAAACUUAAAGGAAUUGACGGGGUCAUAGC
RNAcentral lists this ribosomal RNA (554 nucleotides) under uncultured bacterium. RNAcentral's name for it is "partial 16S ribosomal RNA". It matches the Rfam family "Bacterial small subunit ribosomal RNA", at positions 355 to 925 of the family's 1533-position model. The record is from RNAcentral.